UCCUUGGUAGCUCAGCUAGUAAAGAAUCUGCCUGCAAUGCAGGAGACUCGGGUUCGAUUCCUGGAUUGGGAA
RNAcentral lists this transfer RNA (72 nucleotides) under Ovis aries (sheep). It matches the Rfam family "tRNA". Rfam says of the family: Transfer RNA (tRNA) molecules are approximately 80 nucleotides in length. Their secondary structure includes four short double-helical elements and three loops (D, anti-codon, and T loops). The record is from Rfam by way of RNAcentral. Lineage: Eukaryota; Metazoa; Chordata; Mammalia; Artiodactyla; Bovidae.